This 513-nucleotide ribosomal RNA is filed under the name uncultured bacterium. RNAcentral's name for it is "partial 16S ribosomal RNA". It matches the Rfam family "Bacterial small subunit ribosomal RNA", at positions 28 to 523 of the family's 1533-position model. The record is from RNAcentral.
GAUGAACGCUGGCGGCGUGCCUAAUACAUGCAAGUCGAGCGAACAGAUGAGAAGCUUGCUUCUCUGAUGUUAGCGGCGGACGGGUGAGUAACACGUGGGUAACCUACCUAUAAGACUGGGAUAACUCCGGGAAACCGGGGCUAAUACCGGAUAAUAUUUUGAACCGCAUGGUUCAAUAGUGAAAGACGGCUCUGCUGACACUUAUAGAUGACCUUGCGGUGCAUUAGUUAGUUGGUGGGGUAAUGGCCUACCAAGACGAUGAUGCAUAGCCGACCUGAGAGGGUGAUCGGCCACAUUGGGACUGAGACACGGCCCAAACUCCUACGGGAGGCAGCAGUAGGGAAUCUUCCGCAAUGGGCGAAAGCCUGACGGAGCAAUGCCGCGUGAGUGAAGAAGGCCUUCGGGUCGUAAAACUCUGUUAUAAGAGAAGAACAAAUUGUAGAGUAACUGCUACAGUCUUGACGGUAUCUUAUCAGAAAGCCACGGCUAACUACGUGCCAGCCGCCGCAGUAA